Molecule: ribosomal RNA, 253 nt
Filed under: uncultured bacterium
Lineage: Bacteria
Description: partial 16S ribosomal RNA
Rfam family: Bacterial small subunit ribosomal RNA
Source: RNAcentral
UACGGAGGGGGCUAGCGUUGUUCGGAAUUACUGGGCGUAAAGCGCACGUAGGCGGCUUUGUAAGUUAGAGGUGAAAGCCCAGGGCUCAACCCUGGAAUUGCCUUUAAGACUGCAUCGCUUGAAUUGUGGAGAGGUAAGUGGAAUUCCGAGUGUAGAGGUGAAAUUCGUAGAUAUCCGGAGGAACACCAGUGGCGAAGGCGACUUUCUGGCCUGUUCUUGACGCUGAGGCGCGAAAGCUAGGGGAGCAAACGGG